CUGCAUGGUGGUGCAGGUGGUAGCACUGUUGCCUUGCAGCACAAAAGUCCUGGGUUCAACUCCCAGUCAGGAGU
Molecule: non-coding RNA, 74 nt
Organism: Ataeniobius toweri
Lineage: Eukaryota; Metazoa; Chordata; Actinopteri; Cyprinodontiformes; Goodeidae
Source: the annotation of a GenBank genome assembly